AGAGAGAUAGAGGGCAGCACGGGACCAGAGUGCUAGCUGCCCUUCAGGAGAACAUGACUGCUUAACUUGCAGGUCUGAAGAGGUAGCCAAGACCGGGAGAGAAGUGGCGGGCAUGCCCGCAUCCUCUCCCCAACCUCUCCAGAAAGAGAUGCAGCGCCUCUGUCUCAUUGUUUAAGAAGAAAAGGGGGAACUUGGAGACGCAGCCAAUGAAGGAUAAAUGAGCGCUCUGCUAGUUCAAAGGCAACGUGCAGAUUGGACAGAGGAAGCGUGCAGAGCUCAGAAGAACAGGAGAAAACCCAGUGACACAGAUAAACAAACAAACAUAAAAAUCCACGCUGAAUGGGGCAGUACUCCCAAGAAGCAGAAUAUGAAGGCCUGAGAGGAAGAAGGCAGACUGAAGAAACAGGCAAUGGAAUAAGGAAAUGAGAAUGUAGACUGUAGCCCUCGGUCCCGGCUUCAGACUCAGUGUGGUACUUGAGAUGUGGCAACGAGGAAGCCGCCCUAAGUCCUCACCUUGGGGACCUCACACUUGAGCUAGGGAGACUGACAGCAAAGGAGGGGUGUGUGAAGUAUGGAGUGUGGCAGAUGGUGAUAGACACCAUCCAGGAAGAUCAAGCAAAGAGGUAGAUGGGGGUGCUGGGCAGAGAAGGGGUUUCCGUUUGCAAUUCGGUCAUGAGAAAAGCCACGUUGCAAAGGUGAUCGUUGAGCAAAGCCUUGAAGAAUGAGAGGAAGUGAGCCAUGUGGGAUCUGGGGGAAGAGCAUUAUAGCAUCUGAAAGCAGAAAGUGCAAAGGCCCUACGAUGGCGCUGGGAGGGCCUUAACCACACAAGCCCAAUGCGGAGCUUGAUUCCAUGAAUCGUGUGAUCGUGACCCGAGCUGAAAUCAAGAGUUGGAUGCUUAACUGACCGAGUCACCCAGUUGCCCCUGUGAGAAGUUCCUUUAAUCAUCUGUGUACAAUUGUAGUAAAUGUACAAAUAUGGUCUCAGGCCCCACAAAAUCUGGAUCCACCCUUGCUCUCAGCAAUCCUGUUAAUAAAAAUUAUUCAUCAUUCAAAACCAAGAUCAAAUGUCACUUCCUUUAUAAAUUAUUUCCUGAAUCCCUAAUCAGAGAGAGAGACAGAGACAGAGACAGAGCAUAAGCAGGGAGGGAGACACAGGAUUGAAGCAGGCUCCAAGAUCCAAGCUGUCAGCACAGAGCCCUAUGCAGGGCUCAAACUCACAAACCAUGAGAUCACAAUUUGAGCCAAAGUCAGACGCUUAACCGACUGAGCCACCAAGGCACCACAUUUAUUCCUUUUUUAAAAUACAACUUUCCUUGUUUUGGGAGUGACUGAGGUUUUCUCAUGGUUAAAAUCAGGUUAUA
Molecule: long non-coding RNA, 1361 nt
Organism: Neofelis nebulosa (Clouded leopard)
Lineage: Eukaryota; Metazoa; Chordata; Mammalia; Carnivora; Felidae
Exons: 6
Source: RefSeq, a predicted model, not a curated record